Small nuclear RNA from Myotis lucifugus (little brown bat), 109 nucleotides. NCBI's taxonomy places the organism in Eukaryota, Metazoa, Chordata, Mammalia, Chiroptera, Vespertilionidae. The record is from Ensembl.
GUCGUUUAAAAAUGUCAGCACAUGUACUAAAACUGGAAUGAUUCAGAAAAGAUCAAUAUGGCCCCCAGGUAAGGAUGGCAUGCAAAUUUGCAAAGCGUUCCAUAUAUUU